Dalotia coriaria is the source of this 393-nucleotide long non-coding RNA. RefSeq lists it as uncharacterized. The transcript is spliced from 7 exons. The record is from RefSeq and is a predicted model, not a curated record. Lineage: Eukaryota; Metazoa; Arthropoda; Insecta; Coleoptera; Staphylinidae.
UACACCUGAGUCUGAUAUUGUAGAUGGACCACUGUUACAACAAAUUGGAUUUUGCACCUGGGUCUGACAACGUAGAAGGAUCAUUUUUGCAUCAAAUUGGAUUUUGCACCUGAGUCUGAUAUUGUAGAUGGACCACUGUUACAUAAAAUUGGAUUUUGCACCUGAAUCUGAUAUUGUAGAUGGACCACUGUUACAUCAAAUUGAAUUUUGCACCUGAGUCUGAUAUUGUAGAUGGACCACGGUUACAUCAAAUUGGAUUUUGCAUUUGAGUCUGAUAUUGUAGAUGGACCAUUGUUGCAUCAAAUUGGAUUUCACUUAAUUAUUUAGGAUUUUUGGAACACAAGCAGGGCGUUACUCAAAUCAAAUUGAAUGAAUCAAAAGUAAUAAAUACUA